Non-coding RNA from Schistosoma margrebowiei, 46 nucleotides. The record is from Rfam. NCBI's taxonomy places the organism in Eukaryota, Metazoa, Platyhelminthes, Trematoda, Strigeidida, Schistosomatidae.
GCACUACUGCGGAGUCCCAUACUAGGACGAAACGGCCGUCCAGUGC